AACGAACGCUGGCGGCAUGCCUAACACAUGCAAGUCGAACGAAGCCUUCGGGCUUAGUGGCGCACGGGUGCGUAACGCGUGGGAAUCUGCCCCUUGCUUCGGAAUAACAGUUAGAAAUGACUGCUAAUACCGGAUGAAGUCUUCGGACCAAAGAUUUAUCGGCAAGGGAUGAGCCCGCGUAGGAUUAGGUAGUUGGUGGGGUAAAGGCCUACCAAGCCGACGAUCCUUAGCUGGUCUGAGAGGAUGAUCAGCCACACUGGGACUGAGACACGGCCCAGACUCCUACGGGAGGCAGCAGUGGGGAAUAUUGGACAAUGGACGCAAGUCUGAUCCAGCAAUGCCGCGUGAGUGAUGAAGGCCUUAGGGUUGUAAAGCUCCUUUACCAGGGAUGAUAAUGACAGUACCUGGAGAAUAAGCUCCGGCUAACUCCGUG
This 433-nucleotide ribosomal RNA is filed under the name uncultured bacterium. RNAcentral's name for it is "partial 16S ribosomal RNA". It matches the Rfam family "Bacterial small subunit ribosomal RNA", at positions 29 to 507 of the family's 1533-position model. The record is from RNAcentral.